RNAcentral lists this ribosomal RNA (427 nucleotides) under uncultured bacterium. RNAcentral describes it as "bacterial SSU rRNA". It matches the Rfam family "Bacterial small subunit ribosomal RNA", at positions 355 to 774 of the family's 1533-position model. The record is from RNAcentral.
UGGGGAAUUUUGGACAAUGGGCGCAAGCCUGAUCCAGCAAUGCCGCGUGCAGGAUGAAGGCCUUCGGGUUGUAAACUGCUUUUGUACGGAGCGAAAAGGUCUGCCCUAAUACGGUGGGCUAAUGACGGUACCGUAAGAAUAAGCACCGGCUAACUACGUGCCAGCAGCCGCGGUAAUACGUAGGGUGCAAGCGUUAAUCGGAAUUACUGGGCGUAAAGCGUGCGCAGGCGGUGAUGUAAGACAGGUGUGAAAUCCCCGGGCUUAACCUGGGAAUUGCAUUUGUGACUGCAUCGCUGGAGUGCGGCAGAGGGGGAUGGAAUUCCGCGUGUAGCAGUGAAAUGCGUAGAUAUGCGGAGGAACACCAAUGGCGAAGGCAAUCCCCUGGGCCUGUACUGACGCUCAUGCACGAAAGCGUGGGGAGCAAACA